RNAcentral lists this small RNA (541 nucleotides) under Oryza sativa Japonica Group (Japanese rice). Its description in RNAcentral is "sRNA Os01g0684601". Lineage: Eukaryota; Viridiplantae; Streptophyta; Magnoliopsida; Poales; Poaceae. The record is from RNAcentral.
UAUGCUAUUUAAGCUAUGAUUACAAGCGUGAAUGAAUACGAGCUAGGACUUGAAAACACUAUCCUUAUCAAAAGCACACUCUUCUAGUUCCAGAAUAAUCAAAGUGGGCACUGAACGGUUUUGAGCUCCUGGGGCUCUUUUCACUCCUGAACUCAUAGAUGUUGAGGUUGAUGGAAUGGCAAAUAUGGCGUUCCGUUGCGUUCAUGAAAUGGACUUCGACAACAGGAUGUAUGACAAUUUAUCAACAUAUAUCGUACCGUCCUGAGUGGAGGAAGUACCAUGCAUGUAUCCUGGUCUGCCAACUUCAAGUUGGCUAGAGAUUAAUGCUUGAACACUAUCUUCAUGUGGCUGUGAAGGGAAACAAAGAUAUAUGGCUGGGUUGAAGAAAUUGUGUUUAUGGAUGGAGGAUUCGCCACAAAGAAAACACAUGGUUUUACCUGGGUCGUGCAGUACUCACUGGAAUCCUAAUUUCUGGAUAUUACAGACAAGAAUACCAGGAAGAAACCUAGCUUGCGUGCCUAAGGAAGUGUGGACAGACAUA